RNAcentral lists this ribosomal RNA (2734 nucleotides) under Klebsiella quasipneumoniae subsp. similipneumoniae. RNAcentral's name for it is "bacterial LSU rRNA". It matches the Rfam family "Bacterial large subunit ribosomal RNA". The record is from RNAcentral. Lineage: Bacteria; Pseudomonadati; Pseudomonadota; Gammaproteobacteria; Enterobacterales; Enterobacteriaceae.
GUUAACGAGGCGAACCGGGGGAACUGAAACAUCUAAGUACCCCGAGGAAAAGAAAUCAACCGAGAUUCCCCCAGUAGCGGCGAGCGAACGGGGAGCAGCCCAGAGUCUGAAUCAGCUUGUGUGUUAGUGGAACGGUCUGGAAAGUCCGACGGUACAGGGUGAUAGUCCCGUACACCAAAAUGCACAGGCUGUGAACUCGAAGAGUAGGGCGGGACACGUGGUAUCCUGUCUGAAUAUGGGGGGACCAUCCUCCAAGGCUAAAUACUCCUGACUGACCGAUAGUGAACCAGUACCGUGAGGGAAAGGCGAAAAGAACCCCGGCGAGGGGAGUGAAAAAGAACCUGAAACCGUGUACGUACAAGCAGUGGGAGCACCUUUAGGUGUGACUGCGUACCUUUUGUAUAAUGGGUCAGCGACUUAUAUUCUGUAGCAAGGUUAACCGUAUAGGGGAGCCGCAGGGAAACCGAGUCUUAACUGGGCGUUAAGUUGCAGGGUAUAGACCCGAAACCCGGUGAUCUAGCCAUGGGCAGGUUGAAGGUUGGGUAACACUAACUGGAGGACCGAACCGACUAAUGUUGAAAAAUUAGCGGAUGACUUGUGGCUGGGGGUGAAAGGCCAAUCAAACCGGGAGAUAGCUGGUUCUCCCCGAAAGCUAUUUAGGUAGCGCCUCGUGAACUCAUCUUCGGGGGUAGAGCACUGUUUCGGCUAGGGGGUCAUCCCGACUUACCAACCCGAUGCAAACUACGAAUACCGAAGAAUGUUAUCACGGGAGACACACGGCGGGUGCUAACGUCCGUCGUGAAGAGGGAAACAACCCAGACCGCCAGCUAAGGUCCCAAAGUCAUGGUUAAGUGGGAAACGAUGUGGGAAGGCACAGACAGCCAGGAUGUUGGCUUAGAAGCAGCCAUCAUUUAAAGAAAGCGUAAUAGCUCACUGGUCGAGUCGGCCUGCGCGGAAGAUGUAACGGGGCUAAACCAUGCACCGAAGCUGCGGCAGCGACACUAUGUGUUGUUGGGUAGGGGAGCGUUCUGUAAGCCUGCGAAGGUGACCUGUGAGGGUUGCUGGAGGUAUCAGAAGUGCGAAUGCUGACAUAAGUAACGAUAAAGCGGGUGAAAAGCCCGCUCGCCGGAAGACCAAGGGUUCCUGUCCAACGUUAAUCGGGGCAGGGUGAGUCGACCCCUAAGGCGAGGCCGAAAGGCGUAGUCGAUGGGAAACAGGUUAAUAUUCCUGUACUUGGUGUUACUGCGAAGGGGGGACGGAGAAGGCUAUGUUAGCCGGGCGACGGUUGUCCCGGUUUAAGCAUGUAGGCUGGUUAUCCAGGCAAAUCCGGAUAAUCAAGGCUGAGGUGUGAUGACGAGGCACUACGGUGCUGAAGUAACAAAUGCCCUGCUUCCAGGAAAAGCCUCUAAGCAUCAGGUAACAUCAAAUCGUACCCCAAACCGACACAGGUGGUCAGGUAGAGAAUACCAAGGCGCUUGAGAGAACUCGGGUGAAGGAACUAGGCAAAAUGGUGCCGUAACUUCGGGAGAAGGCACGCUGGUGUGUAGGUGAAGCCCCUGCGGGUGGAGCUGAGACCAGUCGAAGAUACCAGCUGGCUGCAACUGUUUAUUAAAAACACAGCACUGUGCAAACACGAAAGUGGACGUAUACGGUGUGACGCCUGCCCGGUGCCGGAAGGUUAAUUGAUGGGGUUAUCCGUAAGGAGAAGCUCUUGAUCGAAGCCCCGGUAAACGGCGGCCGUAACUAUAACGGUCCUAAGGUAGCGAAAUUCCUUGUCGGGUAAGUUCCGACCUGCACGAAUGGCGUAAUGAUGGCCAGGCUGUCUCCACCCGAGACUCAGUGAAAUUGAACUCGCUGUGAAGAUGCAGUGUACCCGCGGCAAGACGGAAAGACCCCGUGAACCUUUACUAUAGCUUGACACUGAACAUUGAGCCUUGAUGUGUAGGAUAGGUGGGAGGCUUUGAAGCGUGGACGCCAGUCUGCGUGGAGCCAACCUUGAAAUACCACCCUUUAAUGUUUGAUGUUCUAACGUUGGCCCCUUAUCGGGGUUGCGGACAGUGUCUGGUGGGUAGUUUGACUGGGGCGGUCUCCUCCCAAAGCGUAACGGAGGAGCACGAAGGUUAGCUAAUCCUGGUCGGACAUCAGGAGGUUAGUGCAAUGGCAUAAGCUAGCUUGACUGCGAGCGUGACGGCGCGAGCAGGUGCGAAAGCAGGUCAUAGUGAUCCGGUGGUUCUGAAUGGAAGGGCCAUCGCUCAACGGAUAAAAGGUACUCCGGGGAUAACAGGCUGAUACCGCCCAAGAGUUCAUAUCGACGGCGGUGUUUGGCACCUCGAUGUCGGCUCAUCACAUCCUGGGGCUGAAGUAGGUCCCAAGGGUAUGGCUGUUCGCCAUUUAAAGUGGUACGCGAGCUGGGUUUAGAACGUCGUGAGACAGUUCGGUCCCUAUCUGCCGUGGGCGCUGGAGAAUUGAGGGGGGCUGCUCCUAGUACGAGAGGACCGGAGUGGACGCAUCACUGGUGUUCGGGUUGUCAUGCCAAUGGCACUGCCCGGUAGCUAAAUGCGGAAGAGAUAAGUGCUGAAAGCAUCUAAGCACGAAACUUGCCCCGAGAUGAGUUCUCCCUGAGACUUUAAGUCUCCUGAAGGAACGUUAAAGACGAUGACGUUGAUAGGCCGGGUGUGUAAGCGCAGCGAUGCGUUGAGCUAACCGGUACUAAUGAACCGUGAGGCUUAACCUU